This is a non-coding RNA of Danio rerio (zebrafish), 503 nucleotides long. NCBI's taxonomy places the organism in Eukaryota, Metazoa, Chordata, Actinopteri, Cypriniformes, Danionidae. The record is from RefSeq and is a predicted model, not a curated record.
UCGUGCACAUGGUCCGUUUGGAUAGAAGUAAAGUUGGUUUUAUAUUUGCACAUUCGCACUUACGCUCCCCUAAUAAAAUAUUAGAAAACUAUUGUUUGCAAAUUCCAAAUAGCGAAAUCACACUAGCAGACAACUAUUAUCAAACUACAACAGCGUUCAUGGUCAAAGAAAUCAUGCUAGUGUUGUUUGAAGUGUUACUUACAUGCGAUUUCAGACCGAAUAUUCAAUAUCGCGUGAAAAACAACAAAGGGACCGAGUCAAAAGUUCUCAGGUUGUUGAAAAACGAACAAAAGGAAUUCAGCCAACUACUAUAACGGUUUUGAAAUCAUGGCCUGUGCACAUCAACAUCUGUGGACCCUGCAGAACAUGCAUGCAACCUGUGCCCUGCUGUUUUCCUUACCUCUGUCUUACCCAUUGUCUUAACUAAAUAUUGUAACACUGUCAUUUCUGUUUUUUCUGUUUAUGACAUGUUGUUGUACAUUAAACUAUCAUUAUAUCAUAAA